UGAGGAAUAUUGCGCAAUGGAGGAAACUCUGACGCAGCUAUACCGCGUGCAGGAUGACAGUCUUAUGGAUUGUAAACUGCUUUUAUAUGGGAAGAAACGCCAGAACGUGUUCUGGUUUGACGGUACCAUAAGAACAAGGACCGGCUAACUCCGUGCCAGCAGCCGCGGUAAUACGGAGGGUCCAAGCGUUAUCCGGAUUUAUUGGGUUUAAAGGGUCCGCAGGCGGGAUGCUAAGUCAGUGAUGAAAUCCUACAGCUCAACUGUAGAACUGCCAUUGAUACUGGUAUUCUUGAGUGUAGUUGGAGUAAGUGGAACGUGUUAAGUAGCGGUGAAAUGCAUAGAUAUAACACAGAACACCAAAAGCGAAGGCAGCUUACUAAACUAUUACUGACGCUCAUGGACGAAAGCGUGGGGAGCGAACAGG
Molecule: ribosomal RNA, 424 nt
Filed under: uncultured bacterium
Lineage: Bacteria
Description: bacterial SSU rRNA
Rfam family: Bacterial small subunit ribosomal RNA
Source: RNAcentral